CCUGUUCCCACGUGGUUCAGAAUCAUCUCGCCCCCCUCGAGGAUUUGGCCGCCCUGACUCGAGACGAUGCCGCGCCGCCUCCUCCCCCAAGACGUCGCGCCGCCUCCUCCCCCAAGACGCCGCGCCGCCUGACUCGACGCCGGCGAUCUCCUCCGGCCUACUGGAUUUCUCACUGGUGCCUGCCGCUCCGAUUCUUGUUGGGGUGCACGAAUUACCUCCGUAUUGGGAUCCAGUUGUCACGCCUAAUUUCGGUUCUCAAGCACCAGAAGAAGCAACAAUAAACAAGCUGGAGGGAUAACUUUCUCUCAGAUUCUCAAAGAUAGAUGAUCAUGACACCAAAAGAUGGAUAUAUCUGUAUGCGAAAUUAUAACUGAUCUUGAGCUAUUCCAGAAGUACUUGUGUUGUGUUCUAUUUGCUGCAAAAUUAUGUUGGGGCUGUCAUGAACUAUUGUUGCUGCGAAAGAUCAUGUUGUCAUGAUAAAUUAUGAUUCCUGGGAUUUGGGAUUCGAAGUCAUGUUGUUAUGAUAAAUUAUGAUGUUGUUGUGAUGAUAUAUUGAUAAUGCUGCUAAAUUAUUCCCCUGUAGCAGCUUUUCUCAUUUUUAUUAGGUGGCCUUUACAAUUCUGUAGCAAGGAUAUAAGGGAGUUAGUUACAUUGUAAAGAUUGAAUUUUUAGAUGUUCUACAC
Molecule: long non-coding RNA, 683 nt
Organism: Triticum dicoccoides
Lineage: Eukaryota; Viridiplantae; Streptophyta; Magnoliopsida; Poales; Poaceae
Exons: 3
Source: RefSeq, a predicted model, not a curated record